AGAGGAUCUGCAGGCUAGGUAAAGUGAAAAAAUAGGGAUUGAAAUCAGGAUUUUUGGUGUUUGGUCUGAUUGGAACAAGUCAAGUUAGUGAUGAAGGUGAUGUUGAGUUCAAGGCUGUUCUUUUUGUUCCUCCAAAGGCUCCUCAUGAUCUGUAUGGGAGUUACUACAAUGCUAACAAGUCCAACUUGAAGUUAUACGUCAGACGUGUCUUCAUCUCAGAUGGAUUCGAUGAUCUUCUGCCCAAGUACCUGAACUUUUUGAUGGGAAACACAUUAGGAAGUUGGUUAAAGAUGGAUUCAUCAGCUGCAAACCAAACCACAUUCACUCUCCAUAUCAUGCACGGAGAAUGA
Molecule: long non-coding RNA, 350 nt
Organism: Papaver somniferum (opium poppy)
Lineage: Eukaryota; Viridiplantae; Streptophyta; Magnoliopsida; Ranunculales; Papaveraceae
Exons: 3
Source: RefSeq, a predicted model, not a curated record